CGUAGGUGGCAAGCGUUGUCCGGAAUUAUUGGGCGUAAAGGGCGUGUAGGUGGAUUCUUAAGUCGUGUGUCUAAGUGCGGUGCUCAACGCCGUAUAGGCGCAGGAAACUGGGAAUCUUGAGUGCAGGAGAGGAAAGUGGAAUUCCCAGUGUAGCGGUGAAAUGCGUAGAUAUUGGGAGGAACACCAGUGGCGAAGGCGACUUUCUGGACUGUGUCUGACACUGAGGCGCGAAAGCUAGGGGAGCGAACGGGAUUAGAUACCCCGGUAGUCCUAGCCGUAAACGAUGGGUACUAGGUGUAGAGGGUAUCGACCCCUUCUGUGCCGGAGUUAACGCAAUAAGUACCCCGCCUGGGGAGUACGGCCGCAAGGUUG
RNAcentral lists this ribosomal RNA (372 nucleotides) under uncultured organism. RNAcentral describes it as "bacterial SSU rRNA". It matches the Rfam family "Bacterial small subunit ribosomal RNA", at positions 526 to 896 of the family's 1533-position model. The record is from RNAcentral.